Coffea arabica (coffee) is the source of this 264-nucleotide non-coding RNA. Lineage: Eukaryota; Viridiplantae; Streptophyta; Magnoliopsida; Gentianales; Rubiaceae. The record is from RefSeq and is a predicted model, not a curated record.
UUUGCUCAGCAUGCAUCCGCUUUGUGGAGUGUUGCCCACAAGAGGGACUUACAGAGAAGCUCUGGAUUGGACUUGAAAAUUUUGUUUUCGACUGGCUAAUCAACGCAGACAGGGUUGUUAGCCAGGUUGAGUAUCCUUCUUUGUGGAUCUGAGGGGCCUUCUUUUGGAUCUCGUUGCGCAGCUCCUUGGUGCUUUGUCUCGGAUCAGAUUUAGUUCUGUGACUGAGCGCUUUUUCAUGGAACUGAAUACUCGUCGGAUAGAUAC